AAUUAAUGAGCUUGUACUUUAAGCAUUUGUUUUGAAAACUUAAAAAAGAAUAUUAUAAUUAUUCUAUUAAUUU
RNAcentral lists this transfer RNA (73 nucleotides) under Gynaephora aureata. RNAcentral's name for it is "tRNA-Ser". The record is from RNAcentral. RNAcentral also lists the same sequence under 1 other name. Lineage: Eukaryota; Metazoa; Arthropoda; Insecta; Lepidoptera; Erebidae.